UAGGAUUCCCUCAGUAGCUGCGAGCGAACAGGGAUUAGCCCAGCACCGAAUCCCGCGGCCGAUACCGGGCGCCGGGAAAUGUGGUGUUAGGGAGGAUCCGUUUAUCCCGAGGUCGUGCGGUGCGUCCAAGUCCUUCUUGAACGGGGCCACAGCCCAUAGAGGGUGCCAGGCCCGUAGCGACCGCUGCCGAUCGCGGGAGGAUCCCUCCUCAGAGUCGGGUUGCUUGAGAGUGCAGCCCUAAGUGGGUGGUAAACUCCAUCUAAGGCUAAAUAUGACCACGAGACCGAUAGCGAACAAGUACCGUGAGGGAAAGUUGAAAAGCACUUUGAAGAGAGAGUUCAAGAGUACGUGAAACCGUUCAGGGGUAAACCUGAGAAACCCGAAAGGUCGAAAGGGGAAAUUCAUUCGCGUCUCGGCAGUCAGCGUCGAGUGGUCGAGUGACGGACGACGUCCGCGUCGUCCGCGCCUUCCGUUCUUCGAACUGGCGUCGAACGCGUGCACUUUUCCCCUAGUAGGACGUCGCGAUCCGUUGGGUGUCGGUCUAAGGCCUGCGGUGGAGCCCGCGUGGACGUUUCGGCGUUCUGCGCGGACCCGCGGUGUCCCGGCCGACUCGCUCGACGGUAUACAAAUGGCGCGAGGCCGCUACACACACACACAGAGUUAGCGUUCGGCCUGCGGCAAGCGCGUUCGGUGUUUGACGGCGAUCGGACCUAGCGCCGGUCCUGUCCCCGAGCGACUGUUGGCUGCGGUGUCUCGAACAGACCUCGUCUCGAAACGCCGAUCUGCGACGCUAUAGCUUUGGGUACUUUCAGGACCCGUCUUGAAACACGGACCAAGGAGUCUAGCAUGUGCGCGAGUCAUUGGGACAUCACUAAACCUAAAGGCGUAAUGAAAGUAAAGGUCCGCCUUGUGCGGACCGAGGGAGGAUGAGCGGUUUGCCCUUAAAGUGGCCGCUCCGCACUCCCGGGGCGUCUCGUUCUCAUCGCGAGAAGAGGCGCACCAAGAGCGUACACGCUGGGACCCGAAAGAUGGUGAACUAUGCCUGGUCAGGACGAAGUCAGGGGAAACCCUGAUGGAGGUCCGUAGCGAUUCUGACGUGCAAAUCGAUCGUCGGAACUGGGUAUAGGGGCGAAAGACUAAUCGAACCAUCUAGUAGCUGGUUCCCUCCGAAGUUUCCCUCAGGAUAGCUGGCGCUCGUUGCGCACGAGUCUCAUCCGGUAAAGCGAAUGAUUAGAGGCAUUGGGGUCGAAACGACCUCAACCUAUUCUCAAACUUUAAAUGGGUGAGAUCUCCGGCUUGCUCGAACUAUAUCUCUAUAUAAUGAAGCCGCGAGAUACGGAUCAGAG
RNAcentral lists this ribosomal RNA (1346 nucleotides) under Vesperus sanzi. RNAcentral describes it as "eukaryotic LSU rRNA". It matches the Rfam family "Eukaryotic large subunit ribosomal RNA", at positions 70 to 1119 of the family's 3401-position model. The record is from RNAcentral. Lineage: Eukaryota; Metazoa; Arthropoda; Insecta; Coleoptera; Cerambycidae.